Salvelinus sp. IW2-2015 is the source of this 717-nucleotide non-coding RNA. NCBI's taxonomy places the organism in Eukaryota, Metazoa, Chordata, Actinopteri, Salmoniformes, Salmonidae. The record is from RefSeq and is a predicted model, not a curated record.
CUGUUAAUAUAACCGUGUGUUAGUGUGGGGUUACAGUGAAUUUAUGUAAAUCACAAAGCUAAUCUGCAUUUCCUGCGGUGCAGGGAAAGUCUCGGCAACAAACGUGUGGUCAAAUGAAGAUCCUACUCCUGUACAACCAAAUAUAGAAAGCUGGAAUCCUUGAUGGUGAAACCACCACGUCCGUGUGCGAUAUUACAACAACAAAGUCACUGCAAACAACGAACACUGUUGUUUUUCACUCAAACAUCAUUGCACGCGCGAUAGAACGGCAGAAUAUGUCACGUUUUUUUUUUUUUUACAACGUUUGGGACGCUCCUCACCACCGCUUCGACAACAAAACAAAAACAACGGCCAUGGGGCAGACAGUGGCACCGUUUUCCCUACUACGGAUUCCAUAUUUAAAGAUUGUUCAUUUUUUAUAUGUUGCCUGGCUGUUUUGAAGAAUCAGGGUUAGAAUAAUAUCUUAUGUUCUACUAUCUCGUUGAGAGUAKAUCUUGGAAUAGGAACACGCAUUCGGGGUAGAAAAGCUAACUCCACUCAUUGGAUAUUCAUACAAAUAUAUCUUGUUUUGAUCAUCUGCUGUACAUGAUGCAGUCUAUAUUUAUUGCCAUAAACACAGUAAUAACAGGUCGUUUUUAUAAAGGAAGCAGUUUCCAUAUUUGUCGUUUUCAUGUGUCUUUUACCAUUAAAACGAGUUUUUACAGAUUUAUAAUGAAA